AGUGAACGCUGGCGGUAGGCCUAACACAUGCAAGUCGAACGGCAGCACAGUAAGAGCUUGCUCUUACGGGUGGCGAGUGGCGGACGGGUGAGGAAUACAUCGGAAUCUACUUUUUCGUGGGGGAUAACGUAGGGAAACUUACGCUAAUACCGCAUACGACCUACGGGUGAAAGCAGGGGAUCUUCGGACCUUGCGCGAUUGAAUGAGCCGAUGUCGGAUUAGCUAGUUGGCGGGGUAAAGGCCCACCAAGGCGACGAUCCGUAGCUGGUCUGAGAGGAUGAUCAGCCACACUGGAACUGAGAAACGGUCCAGACUCCUACGGGAGGCAGCAGUGGGGAAUAUUGGACAAUGGGCGCAAGCCUGAUCCAGCCAUACCGCGUGGGUGAAGAAGGCCUUCGGGUUGUAAAGCCCUUUUGCUGGGAAAGAAAAGCAGCAGGUUAAUACCCCGCUGUUCUGACGGUACCCAAAGAAUAAGCACCGGCUAACUUCGU
This 491-nucleotide ribosomal RNA is filed under the name uncultured bacterium. Its description in RNAcentral is "partial 16S ribosomal RNA". It matches the Rfam family "Bacterial small subunit ribosomal RNA", at positions 29 to 506 of the family's 1533-position model. The record is from RNAcentral.